GAUGAACGCUGGCGGCGUGCUUAACACAUGCAAGUCGAACGGAAAGGCGCUGCGUUUGUGGCGCGCUCGAGUGGCGAACGGGGGAGUGACACGUGAGUAACCUGCCCCUGACUUUGGGAUAACUUCACGAAACUGGGGCGAAUACCGGAUAGGAGCUCCUGCUGCAUGGUGGGGGUUGGAAAGUUUCGGCGGUUGGGGAUGGACUCGCGGGUUAUCAGCUUGUUUGUGUGGUAGGGGCUUUCCAGGGCUUUGACGGGUAGCCGGCCUGGGAGGGUGGACGGGCACAAUGGGACUGAGGUACGGAGCAGAAGGCUACGGGACGCAGCGGGCGAGAGUCUUGCGCAACAGGCGGAAGUGUGAUACGAAGGCGCUGCGUGCGGGAUGACGUGUUACGGGUUGUGAACCGCUUUCGCCUGAGACGAGGAGGGCUUGACGGUACUGGGUCAAGAAGCACCGGCUAACUACGUG
RNAcentral lists this ribosomal RNA (468 nucleotides) under uncultured bacterium. RNAcentral's name for it is "partial 16S ribosomal RNA". It matches the Rfam family "Bacterial small subunit ribosomal RNA", at positions 28 to 507 of the family's 1533-position model. The record is from RNAcentral.